RNAcentral lists this ribosomal RNA (322 nucleotides) under Rhodococcus qingshengii. RNAcentral describes it as "bacterial SSU rRNA". It matches the Rfam family "Bacterial small subunit ribosomal RNA", at positions 1224 to 1533 of the family's 1533-position model. The record is from RNAcentral. Lineage: Bacteria; Bacillati; Actinomycetota; Actinomycetes; Mycobacteriales; Nocardiaceae.
GCUACAAUGGCCAGUACAGAGGGCUGCGAGACCGUGAGGUGGAGCGAAUCCCUUAAAGCUGGUCUCAGUUCGGAUCGGGGUCUGCAACUCGACCCCGUGAAGUCGGAGUCGCUAGUAAUCGCAGAUCAGCAACGCUGCGGUGAAUACGUUCCCGGGCCUUGUACACACCGCCCGUCACGUCAUGAAAGUCGGUAACACCCGAAGCCGGUGGCUUAACCCCUUGUGGGAGGGAGCCGUCGAAGGUGGGAUCGGCGAUUGGGACGAAGUCGUAACAAGGUAGCCGUACCGGAAGGUGCGGCUGGAUCACCUCCUUUCUAAGGAG